GUUGGGACAUGCCUUGACUUGUACUGGCUUGCUUGCUUGCUUGAGAGAGAGAGAGAGAGAGAGAGAGAGAGAGAGAGAGAGAGAGAGAGAGAGAGAGAGAGAGAGAGAGAGGCCUGUGGUCAAUAACUUCAUCAUGCUAGUGUGAUCUGACCCGAACAGGGAGAACCCAGCAACAUGAGAGUCACAACAUAACGAUGGACUCAUUGGAAGCACUGGCGUUUGAAACAUGUUCUGCUGCAUACCAUACCCUCCAGUCCUGAAAACACAAAGAAUCCCACUGCUUCUAAACUGCUCUGAAACUUUGCCUGUGUCCUCAGAUCCAGCCUUGUUUCAGUUACCUGAGGAAUUUGUAUUGGAAAUGUAGAAACACUGGCACAUAACCAGCAGCCUGACAGAGAUGACGACAGAUCUGACACAGCGGAGAUCUGCUGUCCCUGGCAUAGGACUACAAAACCCUGGCAUAGGACUACAACCCCAAAACAAAAAAGAGUGUCAGACUGCUAGACAAAGGAUCUGAAGGACACAAAUGAAUCCCCUUCCUCUCACUUACAUUCCGAAUCCCUCACAUCAGGUGAAACCUGACCGUAACGUCUGUCUAUGACGAACAGGCCUCAGAGACUCCCUGCUGGUUGCGUGGCAGAGAGACGGCCUGGCUUGAAGGAGGGGAGACAGGAGGAGAUGCUGUUAGAUGUGGCUACUGUGAGUGGUUCUCUGGCAGUGUCUUAGCUGGUUGUUGUGAGGAGUGAGAACGAAGCAAUCAGCAAGUAUACUGCCGCAGAAACUCUUCGCACUGAGAGGCCGCCGGCUCUCAUUGUUCAUCACUCAGAGAGGGAGAAACAGGAAGCGGAGAAAAGAGGAGAGUGGUACGUAUUUUCCAGUGAUCCUAAACAGAUUUUAAAGCGUCUGGUGAUUACGUCUAUGGAAUUCAUGAGUGUUUUUCCGAUUCUCAUAGCUCGGUAGACUGAGACUAUUUUUUUUCCAAAUGAUGACAUUUGGUUGGUGUACGUUUGUCAUGCUAAUAUGUAAACAUGUAUUGUUUACGUCAUGCUGUUUGUGAACCAAAUGAUCAUGUAUUUCUAAAUGUUCUGCAUUUCAAAUUUCAAACUCAUUGUCUCAAAUUACUGACAUUUGGGUUUUGAAAGGUUCACAAUUCACUAGUGCCAUCUUGUGUCGAGAGAUUGGGCAUGGUGGUCAAACUACGUAGGCAAUUAUAUCUGGGCACUGUUACAGCACUUGCUGGAAACAUAAAUGUGACACAAAAAGUCAAACAACCUGAUGUUGACAUAUUUUUCUAUACUACUGAUACUUGAUCAACAUUUACAAUUUCUACAAUAAGGUACACUCACAAACUGUAUCUAUAAUAAUAAUAAUAAUAAUCAGCAGCCAAUCAUUUCAAUUGCAUUGCUAAAUGUGAUAAAUGGUAUUGUUGUUAACACUAUCCUAUGUGAUUGUAUUAUUUAAUUGUGCUGUUUAAGACUUAAAUGUGAUUGUCAACUAUAUUUUUCUUGCUUGUCAUUGUAAAAUAAAAAUAUUGAAUUGGCUAUUCCU
Molecule: long non-coding RNA, 1548 nt
Organism: Osmerus eperlanus (European smelt)
Lineage: Eukaryota; Metazoa; Chordata; Actinopteri; Osmeriformes; Osmeridae
Exons: 4
Source: RefSeq, a predicted model, not a curated record